GAUGAACGCUGGCGGCGUGCCUAAUACAUGCAAGUCGAGCGAACAGACGAGGAGCUUGCUCCUCUGACGUUAGCGGCGGACGGGUGAGUAACACGUGGAUAACCUACCUAUAAGACUGGGAUAACUUCGGGAAACCGGAGCUAAUACCGGAUAAUAUAUUGAACCGCAUGGUUCAAUAGUGAAAGACGGUGUUGCUGUCACUUAUAGAUGGAUCCGCGCCGCAUUAGCUAGUUGGUAAGGUAACGGCUUACCAAGGCGACGAUGCGUAGCCGAACUGAGAGGGUGAUCGGCCACACUGGAACUGAGACACGGUCCAGACUCCUACGGGAGGCAGCAGUAGGGAAUCUUCCGCAAAGGGCGAAAGCCUGACGGAGCAACGCCGCGUGAGUGAUGAAGGUCUUCGGAUCGUAAAACUCUGUUAUUAGGGAAGAACAAAUGUGUAAGUAACUAUGCACGUCUUGACGGUACCUAAUCAGAAAGCCACGGCUAACUACGUG
This 497-nucleotide ribosomal RNA is filed under the name uncultured bacterium. Its description in RNAcentral is "partial 16S ribosomal RNA". It matches the Rfam family "Bacterial small subunit ribosomal RNA", at positions 28 to 507 of the family's 1533-position model. The record is from RNAcentral.